Molecule: long non-coding RNA, 1129 nt
Organism: Branchiostoma floridae (Florida lancelet)
Lineage: Eukaryota; Metazoa; Chordata; Leptocardii; Amphioxiformes; Branchiostomatidae
Exons: 3
Source: RefSeq, a predicted model, not a curated record
ACUUUCCCAUUCAGAAAACAAGUAACCAUGAAACAUUUGCAUACUUGUCUUACACCUUGGGGUAAAUAUGUCCGUCCACGCGAGCCCUCCUCAUUCAUUCCCGCCAGCUGUGACCUCAGAGUGACAUCGUGCCGUGAUCUACGUGUCCAGGAUUUCUCUGAAGCUACACCAUGAAGCUGUUUGUCUGCAUGAUGCUGGUGACGAUGGUUGUCAUGGCAACGCUGAUAGACGAUUCUGAGGGAUGGAGGCGUCGGCGCAGGCGCAGAAGGAACGGUGGAAGUCUGGAUGUCGAUUCAGAUGCUGACUCAGAGUUGAGGGAGGUUGUGGAAGAGGCGAGGUCGCUCCUGGAGGAACUUGAUGAGGCCAGUGAAUAUUUGAAUACACGGGAACUAGAGAACGAGGAAGUGGAGAAUAUACUCGUGAAUCAGGAAGAAUAUAGAAAAAGAAGAAAUUAUCCUUGUUGCAUAAGUGGAUAAGUAGAUAUGAAGUCCGUACAAAGAUAUCAGCCUUUAGGGCCAGGAGAGUUUGAUGUGUUUCGGGCUGGUGGAACGAGACUUAGUGUAGUUAGUUUGUUUUUUUGCGAUCUGAAACAAUACAACCUGCCUCAAGAUGAAGGAACUUUCAACUAAAACGAUAACAAGUAUUUCAGCAUAGCAUUUACCAAAACAUGUGCACAGAAUGAAGGUAUACUCGUUGGUAUGAUAGAUGUGUAUUAUUUUCACAUUUCAGAUAAGUGUUAAAUAUGAAUGUAGCUAAACAAUAAACGCAAAGUAUCGGAUAAAUAUAACGUUAUGUUAUAUGACAGAAACUAGAGACUGAUUUUGAUUAAAUGUUAUCACACAGUUAUUAUCAUAAUUUAUUCAUAUGAAUGUAGUCUUCUUCUUCUUAUAGACGUCACUGUCAUAGUUUACCAAAUAACGCUAGGUAUAUUUCACGUGAGACACAUUUAUAUUGUGCAGUUAUGAUGCACGUGUGUAUUUUGGUGCAAAUAAUUGGCUAUAGCUUUUGAAAUAUCAAAAUCUUCUGUUUAGGCUGUGUAAUCUUGUGGUUUACAAGUAAAAACUUCUAAGUUCUGCACCAUUGUCUUGUGUUGAUUUUUCCACAGCACAUUACUUUCUAGUUCAGUAUG